UACGUAGGGUGCAAGCAUUAAUCGGAGUUAUUGGGCGUAAAGGGCGCGUAGGCGGGAAUGUAAGUCAGAUGUGAAAUUCCAAAGCUCAACUUUGGAGCUGCAUUUGAAACUACAUUUCUUAUGAGGAUUGGCGGAGAAAGCGGAAUUCCACAAGUAGCGGUGAAAUGCGUAGAUAUGUGGAAGAACACCGGUGGCGAAGGCGGCUUUCUAGCUUAUACCUGACGCUGAGGCGCGAGAGCAAGGGGAGCAAACAGG
RNAcentral lists this ribosomal RNA (255 nucleotides) under uncultured bacterium. RNAcentral's name for it is "partial 16S ribosomal RNA". It matches the Rfam family "Bacterial small subunit ribosomal RNA", at positions 524 to 776 of the family's 1533-position model. The record is from RNAcentral.